RNAcentral lists this ribosomal RNA (912 nucleotides) under uncultured archaeon. RNAcentral describes it as "bacterial SSU rRNA". It matches the Rfam family "Archaeal small subunit ribosomal RNA", at positions 29 to 922 of the family's 1478-position model. The record is from RNAcentral.
GCUUCGGGGAGGGACUAGAAUGCUAGUCGAGUGACUCAGGCAAAACGAGUCACGGCACACAGCUCAGUAACACGUGGCUAACCUGCCCUUGGGACGAGAACAACCCCGGGAACCUGGGGAUAAUCCUCGAUAGGUGAAGAACUCUGGAAUGAGUCUUCGCCCAAAAGCCAUUUGGAUCAUGCUUCCAAGUGGCGCCUAAGGAUGGGGCCGCGACCGAUCAGGUUGUUGGUGAGGUAAUGGCCCACCAAGCCUAUAACCGGUGCGGGCCGUGAGAGCGGGAGCCCGGAGAUGGGCACUGAGACAAGGGCCCAGGUCCUACGGGGCGCAGCAGUCGCGAAAACUUUGCAAUACACGAAAGUGUGACAGGGUCAUCCCGAGUGCCGACCGCUGAGGUUGGCUUUUACCCAGUCUAGAAAGCUGGGGGAAUAAGGAGAGGGCAAGUCUGGUGUCAGCCGCCGCGGUAAUACCAGCUCUCCGAGUGGUGUGGACGUUUAUUGGGCCUAAAGCAUCCGUAGCUGGCUAGGUAAGUCCCUUGUUAAAUCCACCGAAUUAAUCGUUGGAUCGCGGGGGAUACUGCUUGGCUAGGGGACGAGAGAGGCAGACGGUAUUUUCGGGGUAGGGGUGAAAUCCUAUAAUCCCGGGAAGACCACCAGUGGCGAAGGCUGUCUGCUAGAACGCGCCCGACGGUGAGGGAUGAAAGCUGGGGGAGCGAACCGGAUUAGAUACCCGGGUAGUCCCAGCUGUAAACGAUGCAGACUAGGUGUUUGGACGGCCACGUGCCGUUCUAGUGCCGCAGGGAAGCUGUUAAGUCUGCCGCCUGGGGAGUACGAUCGCAAGAUUGAAACUUAAAGGAAUUGGCGGGGGAGCACCACAAGGGGUGAAGCUUGCGGUUUAAUUGGAUUCAACGCCGGA